AUGGAAUCCCGUACGAUUUCAUGCACGAUGAGUUUUGCCACUCCAGCUUGGGCCGUGCCACUCCGUCCGGUGCGUACAAGGUCGUCCGUCUCCGAAACGCCGUCACGGCGCUUGGCGAUGGCCAGAUCUGCCAGGUUGCCACAAUUGAGGCCGCGGCCACGGCCACAGCAGAACCCACGACGUGGAGGCAGAGACCGGAGCCCCCUAUCCUUACAUGUUGGUGCUCCAAUUGCACGGCCACCGUCAACGGCAUCCUCCACUUCAUGGAUGGUGGCCCUCAUGCCCAUGGUACACGUCCGGUGA
Molecule: ribosomal RNA, 303 nt
Filed under: Triticum aestivum (bread wheat)
Lineage: Eukaryota; Viridiplantae; Streptophyta; Magnoliopsida; Poales; Poaceae
Description: partial small subunit ribosomal RNA
Source: RNAcentral